This 238-nucleotide ribosomal RNA is filed under the name uncultured bacterium. Its description in RNAcentral is "partial 16S ribosomal RNA". It matches the Rfam family "Bacterial small subunit ribosomal RNA", at positions 15 to 253 of the family's 1533-position model. The record is from RNAcentral.
GAUCCUGGCUCAGGAUGAACGCUGGCGGCGUGCUUAACACAUGCAAGUCGAACGGAAAGGCCAGUGCUUGCACUGGUGCUCGAGUGGCGAACGGGUGAGUAACACGUGAGUGAUCUGCCCUGCACUUUGGGAUAAGCCUGGGAAACUGGGUCUAAUACCGGAUAGGACCAUGCUUUAGAUGGUGUGGUGGAAAGUUUUUUCGGUGUGGGAUGAGCUUGCGGCCUAUCAGCUUGUUGGG